Molecule: non-coding RNA, 2957 nt
Organism: Cricetulus griseus (Chinese hamster)
Lineage: Eukaryota; Metazoa; Chordata; Mammalia; Rodentia; Cricetidae
Source: RefSeq, a predicted model, not a curated record
CCCUCUGAGUGAAGCCUUAACACAGGUUUAGAGAAACAUCUGUUUCUCUUGCUCCUGACAAAAUUAGACUGGCCUCCAGUUUAGACCCUCAUCUCCUAGACAGCAAGGUUUGUGAGUAUAUCCUUUAUACCCCAGGCAGAGUGGAGGCCUCAGUCAGCAAGCCUCCUGUGGCUGACCACCAAUGUCAAAUCCAUUUGGCUCACCAUCCUCCUUGUAGCCAAGACUAGAGAAUCAACUAAAAGCAUUGUUUUGGGACAAAUAAAAAUGAAGCCACAACUUCCUUUCCCAGGAAACAGUCUCUAUGCCCACUUAGCCCAUGCUUCUGGGCUUUGAUCACCAUGGGAGGAUCACAGGACUUCAAGAAUUUCUGUAGACACCAACCCUUGUAGUUGGGUUCCUUGGAACAAAUUCCUGAGCCUCCAGGUCAGCCUCUUAAAGAUGGCUUAGCCGCUGGAUAAGGCAAGUGAAGAAUGGUAAGAAAGGAAGCACCACCAGUAGAAAAAGAAGUGUCAGAGGCCUGGAGCCACAGUCGUCACUUCUGGCCCCACAACCUUGCCUCAAGGCAGCUAUGUCUUAGAAUGGGACAUGAGACUGGCACUUGGUAACAGGCUGGUGACUGGCUUGGUCCAGUGGCCUGCUUUUGUUCUUUGAGGUCCUUCUGCCUCCCUCCACUGCCUGCCUUCCAAUUCCUCAAGAGGUUAGCAAAGUCAUUUGGGUUGGAGGGGACACAGGCAAGAGAUAUGACAUCCAAACAAACAAACAAACAAACAAACAAACAGGGUCUCAUGUAGCCCAGGCUAGUCUUGAAUGCAUAUAUAGCUAGGUCGAUAUUGAACUUCCAUUCUUCCUGCUUUUCCCUCCUGAUUGCCGGGGUUACAAGUGUGAGUCACCGUGUCUAAUUUAUUCAUACUGUCCUGGUCAUUGAACCUAGAGUCUUCUGCAUGCCAGGCAAGCACGCUACCAACCUGAGCUACAUCCUCAGCCCCAAAGAAUGUUCAUGUAUGUUUUUUGUGCACACAGAAGAACCAUUUCACAGAGAAAGGCUAUCAUCAGUCCUUUCUGCCUAUCCAGCUAGACACCAGUUUCUUCCAGGAAAAAGAAACAAAGAUAAAACAUGUAAAUUGAUCAGUCACAGAUGGACCUUGCUGAUCAACAUCACCUGCUUCUGGAGAAAGAUCCUUGUUUUAUUUGACUUUCAGGAAUGGGCAGAAAAGGCCACUGGAAAAAGAUUUGGUCUUUCUGCAUAUGGACAAAGGAUUCAUGGUUUUCUGAGGAGAGGACUAACAGAGAAGACUCCUGGCCUACUCUGGAUGGAUGUCCAGGAAUGGGCUGGGAAGAGGUUAGGGGUUGGUUCCUGUUGUGGCCCGGCAUGUCUCAGCCCCAAGCCACGGUAGCCAGGAGGUUCAGCCUGAGUGGGGGAGCAUGGACUUGGAAACUCUUAGCAACCUAAUGGCGAUAAAGACCAAACACAGGCAUCUUGUCAUCUUUAGAGAGCUCUCAGUUCCAUGCUGCAAAACUGGAGUCUGACAGCCUUCCACAACGAGACACUCAACUUUUACUGAGACACCUCCCUGAGAGGCCUUGAAGUAGACCACGCCCUCUUUGACUCUCAGUCACCCAGGGGAAGAUGGGAGCCACUUGGCAUUCAUCCAGACCCAGGAGUGAAUGGAGGAAACAUCUGGAGACCCUUCCUGUGUCCCUUGGAGAGACUGUGUAACAGUUGGCUCUAUUUGGGGCAUUUCAAGAUGUGUGGUGCAAGAGACACACCUCAGACUUCCAGAGGCAGAAGGCAAAGGUCAAGAGUCAGUAUUCUCUCUGAGGAGAUGCCAAUGGAUUCCAGUUCUGCCUGGUUUGUGACUAGAAGUGACCUUCGCUGCCUGGUACUGAAGGACACCAGGAGCCCAGCCUCCUGAAGCAGCAAGACCUUUUGCUCAUGGAAAGGCUGAGGUGCAGCCAGCCUCAGUACCCAGGAAGGCUCUUCGGGACAGACUAGCCCAUAUCAGCCUUUGAUGUUUCCUUUCUUAAUGGAGAUGGUGUAUCUUACCAGCUUCCCAUUCAAACAUACAGCAUGAGACGGGCGGGAUGACUCAGUGGAUAAGAGUGCUUGCUGCCAAGCCCGAUGACCUGUGUUCUACACAGCGAAAGGAGAAAACUAACUCUCCGGAUUUGUUCUCUGACCUCCACACAACACACAGAGAGAAAUAAAUGUAAUAAAAAACUUAAAAUAUAUGCAGUUCUUCCUUAUCUGCAGAGUAUCCAGUGGACAGGACCAAUUCUUUGUAUGUAAUGUGCUUUUGUCUUAUAUGAAAAUGCUAUGGGCUGGAGGAUAAGCCACUGCAUAGAGUGCUUGCCUAGCACACAAAAAGCCUUGGCUUUAAGUCCCAACACUGCAUAAAACUGAGAACAGCAACUCAAUGCCUAUAAGCCCUGAGGUCAAAGGUAGAGACAGGAGCAUCAGAAACUCAAGAUCAACCUUGGCUACUAUGUGAAUUUGAGGCCAGCCUGGAUUACAUGAGAUGAUGUCUCAAAGCCAACACACACACACACACACACACACACACACACACACACACACACACCCCUAUGAAUAGAUACUUAUGGUACAUUUAAUUUAUAAAUUGGGUGCUGUAAUAUAUUAGUUAAUAGUAAAAUAAAGCAAUCAAUUGAUCUUGCUGUGACAGUCCAUAAAGGAAAGUACAGUCUUGGCAUUGUCCUAUGAACAAUUUUUGAUUGUAUCUAACCUCAAUAGCUGAAACCACAGAAAGAGAAUCCUAGUCUGCAGGGUGCCAGGUAUAAUCCAAGUGAUAUGGGCUCUAUGCAUGGACACAUUCCAGAUUUGUGUCAAAGCUAAACUGAGAAUGGCUUGUUCUCAAGAUCCCAGCUCCUGGAAGAUUUCUCUUCUGUUAAGUGUGUGGGGGACAGGGUAUUAGAGGGUAUUAGAGAAUGAAAUACAUAGG